RNAcentral lists this long non-coding RNA (1218 nucleotides) under Anser brachyrhynchus (Pink-footed goose). RNAcentral describes it as "lncRNA (ENSABRG00000013447.1)". Lineage: Eukaryota; Metazoa; Chordata; Aves; Anseriformes; Anatidae. The record is from RNAcentral.
CUGGCCAGGAGCAGAGGGGGCAGCUGGGGGGAAAGGGGGGGCGCGGAUGUGAGCCUGCGAUGGUCACGGGUCCCCACGCCGAGCCUUGUCACCGGGGUUGUCCUCGGUGGCCACCGGUGGGCGUGAUGAAGUGCGCACGGAGACGGAGGGCACACGGAGACGGAGGGCACACGGAGACGGAGGACGGAGGGCGCACGGAGACGGAGGGCACACGGAGACGGAGGGCGCACGGAGACGGAGGGUGCAAGGUGACGGAGCUCAUACACACGUGGGAGAGGAUCCUGCCCCACUGGCUGGGGACGGUGACAGCUCCCCAGUCCCCUCCUGCAGCCCAUCCACCCCCCCCACACUAAGGGGUACCAGUCCUGGGGUCCCCGUGCGCCUCCGCACCCACGCAGCACCUUUGUCCUUGGCUCCCAGCCCGGUCCUGGCCCCGUACGGACCCCACCAAGAAUCGCCCCGUCCCCCAUCGCCCCGCUUCAUCCUGCUCCUGCCGCCCCUGCAAGGGGGAAGACGGAGCCGGGAGUGUCCCUGGGGACACGAGGGGACACGGCGAGCCAGGGGCUUGCAGCUCGCUCUGCACCACUGGGGGGCCACCAGCCCCCCCGCCGGGGUGACGGGCACGUGUGCUGUCAUCGCCUGGUGGCCCGAAAACACCAGCUGGGGUUUUGGGGUGACGAGGUCUGGGCCAAGGCAGGGAGAUGCUGGAAAAAAAACUGGGGCUCCUGAUGCAGGUCCCAGCAGGGCUGUGGCCGAGGGGUGUACGGACGUGGGGCCCCCCCGAUGCUCCCCCGGCCCCGAUACCAGCCGUGCCCCCACCCCUGCUCGCCGCCCCCUUUGCAGCCACCGAGCCCCCAGCACCCACACGGCUCCAGUCCUCCCAGUGCUCCCAGUUAGCCGGGACCAUCGCAACCAGUGGGGAUGAGGCUCCCGGCGCUUUCACCUGUGCGCCCCCCCGGCGAGAUGUGGCUCGCGGCACAUCUCCAACAGCCUAAUCCGGCGGUCUGACGGCUCUGGGAUUCAUUAAAGCUCUUUUCACCCGGCGGGCUUUAAUUGCGGCGGUCGCCUGACCCCCAGCACGCCGCCGGCCCCGCGGCCACACCAGCGGUGACACCGGGGGACGAGGUGGCACCCCGCAGGGAACACGACGGGAGGCGGGGGGGGGACCCGGUGCCACGAUCCAUCCCUCCUCCCGGCACGGGGUGGGGGGGGUGGGGG